Molecule: ribosomal RNA, 455 nt
Filed under: Escherichia coli
Lineage: Bacteria; Pseudomonadati; Pseudomonadota; Gammaproteobacteria; Enterobacterales; Enterobacteriaceae
Also listed under: 2 other names
Description: bacterial SSU rRNA
Rfam family: Bacterial small subunit ribosomal RNA
Source: RNAcentral
AAAUUGAAGAGUUUGAUCAUGGCUCAGAUUGAACGCUGGCGGCAGGCCUAACACAUGCAAGUCGAACGGUAACAGGAAACAGCUUGCUGUUUCGCUGACGAGUGGCGGACGGGUGAGUAAUGUCUGGGAAACUGCCUGAUGGAGGGGGAUAACUACUGGAAACGGUAGCUAAUACCGCAUAAUGUCGCAAGACUAAAGAGGGGGACCUUCGGGCCUCUUGCCAUCGGAUGUGCCCAGAUGGGAUUAGCUAGUAGGUGGGGUAACGGCUCACCUAGGCGACGAUCCCUAGCUGGUCUGAGAGGAUGACCAGCCACACUGGAACUGAGACACGGUCCAGACUCCUACGGGAGGCAGCAGUGGGGAAUAUUGCACAAUGGGCGCAAGCCUGAUGCAGCCAUGCCGCGUGUAUGAAGAAGGCCUUCGGGUUGUAAAGUACUUUCAGCGGGGAGGAAGGG